AGUUUCUCUUCCUGUGUUCAUUAAAGUUGGAACAACACUGGACAACAGCAGCUGAGGUUGAGCAGAAAAGGGGUAAAUGGUGUGCUGUGUUGGCCUAUUUAACUAUGAAAUGAAAAGGUUGCAAGAACAAGGGAAAUACCAGAGGCAGAGACUCUUGGGGAAGGGCCAUAGCUUACUGGUAGAACAUUCUCUGUGCGCACAGAAGGUCCCAGUUUCCAAUCCCUGGCAGAACCCUGUCAGCUUAAUUACUGUUCAGUGUAGACCACACUAAGCUAGCUCAACCAACAGUCUGCUUUGUAUACAUUAUCUAGUUGCAAUUCUCACACCUGUAGGUGUUUAGCUCAGUGGCAGAGCAACUGCUUUGCAUGCAAAAGGUACAGUGCUCAACCCGUGGCAUCUCUAGGUAGAACUAGGAAUGUCUGCUGCCUUAAACCCUGGAGGGCCAUUGGAGUGUAGACAAUACUAAACUAGAUGGACCCAUAAAGCAACUUCCUAUGUUUCUGUGCACUGGAUUUGUACCGCAAAGACCAAAAGGAACAUCUAGACUGUUCAGUAAGUACAUGAGCAAAGGAUGCUCAUCAUUUCCAUGUGCUAAGAUAGUUUCCCCAAAUAGGAGAAUCAAAGUGUAAUAAUAAUACAAUUUCCCUGGGGAAACUACAGGUGUCUUGCUAUUCUAGAUUACUGCAAGUACAAAAGAAAUUAUAUGAAUGAGAAAGGUACAGUAGUAGAUUUAUCACAUAUAUGGAAAGAAGGUUCCGGAGAUUUAGGCUGCACGAGCACCAUACAUUUAAAACACCCCCCCCAAAAAAAAAAUCCUGGAAAAUGUAGUUUGUUAAUAGUACCAGGAGAGCCAGUUACCUGUUGAAUCUACGGAGAGCCUUUACUGAGCUGCAUUUUCAAGCUAUACAUUGGACCCAGGAGGCGAUUCUCACCUUAUCGAACAUCCAAGAAAGAUAUCUCUGCAUGCCAGAGAAAGUCCCAUGGUAAACGGUUCAGUCACCCUUUUUGCUUUAGCGGCCAAAAAGAUCAGAAAGAAGACAUAACAGUGAACUGGACAGGAGACAUAGAGAUCUAAAUAGAGACUUUAAUUUGUGGCGCAGCACCCCUUUUGCUUCUAUUUCUUUUGGUUUCAGAUUUGUCCUGGCCAAUGCUAGUACAAUAAAGUUAUUUGGAUUGGAUUGGUAUCAGGAAUUAUAGUUUAGAGAGCUGCAUUUCCCAGGAUUCUUGGGCAAGGGGGUUGCUUUAAUGUAUGGUGUCCCACAUAUGCAUGAUGUGGCAAUAUUGAAUCAUUGAGUCAUCAUCAACAUCACAUCUAUUCAAAAGCGCCCCCCCCCCACAUCUGUAGUUUGAAGGGGAUUUAUUCUAACCACCUCGUUCCUCUUUAUUUUUAGACUCAGACUGAGCUAAGAUGGCUGGGUAGAAUACACAGUUGAAUUUCAUAUCAGUGGUACCAAGACUUGGAAAUAAAGGAAGUCACUAGUAGCAGGUUCAGUUAGUUAAACACUGCAUAUUUUAUAAUAAAAAUGUACACUGUUUAUGUACACUUGUUUUACAUAUAAGGAAAAAAACUAAUGAAAACAAAUGCUUAAAGCAAUCACAACAGAAAUGUGUAUAUGGGAUAUCAUAGAAUCAAAGAAUUGGAAGGGACCACAGUGGUCGUCUAGUCCAACCAUCAAUGCAGGAAUAUUUUGCUCAACAUGGGGCUUGAACCCAGACCCUGAGAUUAAGAGCCUCAUAGCAGAGAUUAAAAGCCAAGGCCUGCAAAGGACAAGAUAGAGCUUUAAAAGUAAGCCACCAGCAUUUUGAAUUGUGCUCAUAAAUGGGUCACGAACAAGUGGAGCUCUUUAAAUUUUGGUGAUACAGUAAGCUCGCGACUUACUUGCUUUUAACUUCUGCACAUUCAGCUUUACGUGUGUGGCAAUAAAAGAAAAGAAAAGGGAUGGAGCUCCAGGACAAAUGACUUUGGCAAUCACACCCACCAUUGAACAUGGAUGACUGUAACCAGGCCCUGUGUGUCCCAGUGGGGCCACACCUUGACACAAGCAGCUUUGGCUGAUGAAAGGCAGUACUGUAUAUGUCACUAAGGCCACUUGACUACUAGCAACAGUGCAUUCAGUGCAUGGGGUUGACAGUAGGGAUGUGAAACACUAUGUUGGGAGUGCAACAGCAGGGAUCAUUCAGCUGUAACUUAAGGGUUAAUUCUCUUAUCAGUCAGCUAACCAUGGGGUUGGGUUGAGGUAUUGCUUAUAGCAACCAGGCAGAGUGGGAGGGUCUUUCUGUUAAGAUUUUUAUCCACCCAAGCUGCUCAGGCGUUUUCCCAACACUUUCAUGGGGUAGCACGUGCUCUGAUUGGCUGCGUAGUGCUGUGUUUUCCCUCUCUAUGGUUGGUUGAAUGUCUCCCUGCUAUGUACAAGGCCUGAAGUAAAAAAGACAAAAACUUCUCUGUUUCUUUCUCCUCAAGUUAUACAGUUUCAAUUUGUUCAGUUUCCUCAGGAUUUUCACUCUGGUCUCCCGUCUGUAUUAUUUAAGUGACUUUGCUGACAUGCCACAAUUCAUCCCCACUGCAUCUUCACUUCCUGCUGCUAACCAUCCUAUGUUGAAAUGGCUCACAUUAUUAUCAGCUGUGAGGCUCACAAGCAUGGCAACCAGGAAGCCGAACAGCUGUUUGGUUACUGUGAACCCCAUUGUUUGGAAAAACGAAUCUUCUGGAGCUGCCAGGCUGAGUUCAUGAGGCAGCUCUUAUUGCCAGCUUCAAAAAGCUAGUCUAAGCUUUCCCAGCAACUGCUUGUAGCUGUUGUGCUCACAGGCCCUCCAAUUACAGCUGCUGCCUCAUCUUUGCAGCCCAUCCCUGGGCAACAGUUAAAAGAGACAUUGUGGUUUCAUAAAGCUAUUUUUUUCAACUGGGGUUUUUCUUUUAGCUCUUUGGUAAAAAUGUUGUUCAUUAACAGAAUGGCUUCACAACCAGCCUGUUGGCGUGGAAAAAAUCCCCCUGAGCAGUGAAGCCAGGCAAAAUGCUGAAUGGGACACUGCCCUACCAACCUCAGUCUGCCCUUAAUCACUUGCCCACCUGCCUGCCUACUUCCUUCGAGCCAGCCGAGGAUGUGGCACUGCUUGUCAGCUUCCUCUUCUUUAGUCUUAGUGUUUUCCCCUUAUAUAAAUAAGAGUGGAUGAUGGAGACAAAAUUAGAAUUAGUUAGAUCUGCUUUCCAUUGGCUCUGGCACCAACUACUGUUGGGCUUCAGUUCCUGCCUUCUUCCGCCUUGCCAGCCACGAUGGGCACCAGCCAUCACUGCCCUGAGCUGCUUUCAGUUGCAUCCACAUUUUAGUUUGUACACUCUUUCUUUUGAUAGGAAUGUACCUGUAUGGCGUGCCACAAGGGUGCUUGCAACUCCAGGGUCUAAAACCCAAACUCAUUCAUUACCCUGAGAGAAAAAGUGGAGGAUGGUGGGAGGAGUCCUUGCACAUAGCUAUAUUAUUAACCUCAUUCUUCAGCAUCAAAAACUUUUAUCUAGGGAAAGAUGCUGAGAUUUGUAUGCCUGCUCUGCUUGCAUCUCUCGCUCACCUAUCAAGCACAUUAGCUUUGUAGGUCUGGAGGCCUUUCCAGAAUUUAAAUAUAUGUGUGAACAAUUUUACUUUGAAUUCUGAACCUAGAACAAUCCAAUUGUACAUGUCACAUCUUCGUUUAUGUCUGCCUGCAGCUUCUCCCAAUAAUUCUUGUGUCCGAGUUUCUGAUUUUUUGAAAUUGUUGUCUUCCACAUUUUCUCUUGCAUUUUCCAGCUGGGAUUUACGGUGCAAAGGGAAGAUGUAAUAGUCAAGAUGCUACUAAAAACAAGCUGGUCAGGCAUGAACAGAAGUGAGGAGUAAGUCACAAGAGAGCUGUUUUGAUACUACACAUUUUCCUCCUUGUUAAAUCACCAGCUUUCCUUCCCUCUAGGUUCUCACAAAGGGCUUGUUGUUCACCCUCAGGAGACAUAGCCUACAGUAACAAGUCUGCUACAUCUGCUACUCAGGAUGUAUAUUUAAGAGUCGAGUUGGAUGUAACAAUCUUAGUAAGAGUCACGACAUGACUCUUCUCAUGAAGUAUGAAUGCAGCUUUGCAACUUGCUUGAGAUGCAAACUUGACCACUGGUGCAACUCUGAGCCUUGCCCCCCAAUCGUGCUUCAGGCUGCCUGUUUGCUUUCUUAUACCAGGUAUGUUGCCUAUUUAAGAAGAUCCCUGUGGAUCAGACCGAAAUCUCAUUUAGUCCAGCAUCUUGUUCUAUGGGAGGCUCAUAAACAGGACCUGAGUGUAACAGCACACCCUGCCCUGCUUGUAGUUGAUGUUGAGAAAUACCCUGCCUCCAACAGUGGAGGUAGAACUAGCCAUUGGUAGACUUAUCCUCUGUGAAAUUGUCUAAUCCUUCUUUAAAGCCAUGCAAAUUGGUGGCUAUUGGCAGAGCACAGUGGGGUUGCUGUUGUUUUCAAUAUUUGCACACCAAAUGUAUUUUUUUAAAAUAAAUAAAUAGCUUUUUUAGGCAUGGGGAGAGACUUUCCGGAGCAAUGGUGUGUUUGGGAAAUGAAUGCAGAGUUGACAGUGCAAUCCUAUUUGUGACCACUCAGAUGUAAACCACUGUUGAGUCCAAUAGGACUUAUUCCCAAGUAAAUGUGUGUUGAAAGCUAAUUUCAGCCAGGGUCCUAAGGUUCCAAUAAAGAGGAUAGUACUCACACCCCCACACCCCGCAGCACAUACAGAAUGCCACCUCCUCCCUUGUGUAUAGUCUCAGCCACCAGCCUUCACCAACCUCGUGCCCUCUAGAUGUUUUGGACUACAACCCCCAGGCUUGCCCUGCUGAGACACUCCAGGCACUUUGAGUACUUGGGUCAUGUAAACAAUUGGGAGUGGGGGGGGGUGCCAAUACUAUCUCCACUAAGAUGCUAGUUUCCCCCCUCAUCUUAUUAGGGACAGUUUACACUGAACUACGUACUUGAAAAUAAUUAGCAGUGCAAAGUUUACUCACUUUGAAUUUUCCCUGUGGAUUUUGUUGAGUUAAACUAGAUUGAUGAUUGAUGAUAUAUCCAGAUUGCUCUGCUCUGAAUACAGUUUUGCAACAUUUUCUGAAGUGUGGUGAACUGCAAGCAUUCCAGAGACCACUUAGACCUGUGGUCUUCAGCUUUUUUAAAAAUUCAGACAUACUUUUAACUGCAACAGUCAACAAAGAACCAUUUCUUUCUCUCUUCCACUUCCUUUUGAAAUUUCUGCCAUUUCUCUCUUCAUGCAGCCCAGUUAUGAUUUCAACAAAAACAUUUGGUUGCAUGUGCUUCAGCCUAAUUCCAAAAUGGACUGCAGCUAGGGAUCGAGUCCAAGUGCAGGCUGGUGAGGAUCAGAAGGGCAACAGACAUGGUCAGAAAUGGACUAGGGGUCACACACUGAAUCAGGCAGAUGAGGAUCAAAAGGCCAGAGGCUAGUGUGGAAUCAGCUAGGCAAAACGUCAAGUUCCAAGACCGCAAUAAAAGGUAAAGGGUGGCCAGAGGCAGAUGUUAGGUCAAAGCUAGGGAGGCUGGCUUUUAUUUUUCACUAUAAUGACUAAAUCUGAGACGAAUUUUUAAAGGGUUGUUUUGGUGCAAAACAGGGAGUACCCCCC
This is a non-coding RNA of Podarcis lilfordi (Lilford's wall lizard), 5620 nucleotides long. The record is from the annotation of a GenBank genome assembly. Lineage: Eukaryota; Metazoa; Chordata; Lepidosauria; Squamata; Lacertidae.